Molecule: unclassified non-coding RNA, 285 nt
Filed under: Hevea brasiliensis (rubber tree)
Lineage: Eukaryota; Viridiplantae; Streptophyta; Magnoliopsida; Malpighiales; Euphorbiaceae
Source: RNAcentral
CGUAGAACCUUUAAUUUCCUUGAAAAGUCUCAUAGCCUCCCUCAUCCUCCCUUCCCUGCAGUAACUGUAAAUUAAGGAAUUAUAGGUUACAAUAUCAGGACAUACUCCUGCUCUUUCCAUCCUAUCCUGCACGCACAAAGCUUCAUAAUGCAUGCCUUUCUUGCAGUACAAUGAUAUCAAUGUGUUAUAAGUGUAAAGGUCAGGCAGUGUAGCUUUAAACUCCAUUUCUCUCAAUAAAUCAUCAGCCCGCUCUACAUCACCAGACUUACAACAGGCAUGCAUAAG